RNAcentral lists this ribosomal RNA (472 nucleotides) under uncultured bacterium. RNAcentral describes it as "bacterial SSU rRNA". It matches the Rfam family "Bacterial small subunit ribosomal RNA", at positions 329 to 793 of the family's 1533-position model. The record is from RNAcentral.
CGCUAUCAUCCUACGGGAGGCAGCAGUGGGGAAUAUUGCACAAUGGGCGCAAGCCUGAUGCAGCCAUGCCGCGUGUGUGAAGAAGGCCUUCGGGUUGUAAAGCACUUUCAGUCGUGAGGAAGGUAGUGUAGUUAAUAGCUGCAUUAUUUGACGUUAGCGACAGAAGAAGCACCGGCUAACUCCGUGCCAGCAGCCGCGGUAAUACGGAGGGUGCGAGCGUUAAUCGGAAUUACUGGGCGUAAAGCGCAUGCAGGUGGUUUGUUAAGUCAGAUGUGAAAGCCCGGGGCUCAACCUCGGAAUAGCAUUUAGAAACUGGCAGACUAGAGUACUGUAGAGGGGGUAGAAUUUCAGGUGUAGCGGUGAAAUGCGUAGAGAUCUGAAGGAAUACCGGUGGCGAAGGCGGCCCCCUGGACAGAUACUGACACUCAGAUGCGAAAGCGUGGGGAGCAAACAGGAUUAGAUACCCUGGUAG